This 445-nucleotide ribosomal RNA is filed under the name uncultured bacterium. RNAcentral describes it as "partial 16S ribosomal RNA". It matches the Rfam family "Bacterial small subunit ribosomal RNA", at positions 354 to 796 of the family's 1533-position model. The record is from RNAcentral.
GUAGGGAAUAUUGGGCAAUGGAUGCAAGUCUGACCCAGCCAUCCCGCGUGCCGGAAGAAGGCCCUCAGGGUUGUAAACGGCUUUUGACGGUGAAGAAUCGACAGGAUGCGUCCUGUUUUGACGGUAGCCGUUGAAUAAGCACCGGCUAACUCCGUGCCAGCAGCCGCGGUAAUACGGAGGGUGCGAGCGUUGUCUGGAUUUAUUGGGUUUAAAGGGUGCGUAGGCUGGAAGGUCAGUCAGCGGUGAAAAGCUGUCGCUUAACGAUAGUCUUGCCGCAGAUACUUCCUUUCUUGGAUGAGGAGGAGGCCACUGGAACGGAUGGUGUAGCGGUGAAAUGCAUAGAUAUCAUCCAGAACACCGAUUGCGAAGGCAGGUGGCUGUACCUUAAUCGACGCUGAUGCACGAAAGCAUGGGGAGCAAACAGGAUUAGAAACCCGAGUAGUCC